GACGAACGCUGGCGGCGUGCCUAAUACAUGCAAGUUGAGCGAUGAAGAUUGGUGCUUGCACCAAUUUGAAGAGCAGCGAACGGGUGAGUAACGCGUGGGGAAUCUGCCUUUGAGCGGGGGGCAACAUUUGGAAACGAAUGCUAAUACCGCAUAACAACUUUAAACAUAAGUUUUAAGUUUGAAAGAUGCAAUUGCAUCACUCAAAGAUGAUCCCGCGUUGUAUUAGCUAGUUGGUGAGGUAAAGGCUCACCAAGGCGAUGAUACAUAGCCGACCUGAGAGGGUGAUCGGCCACAUUGGGACUGAGACACGGCCCAAACUCCUACGGGAGGCAGCAGUAGGGAAUCUUCGGCCAGGGAUGAAAGUCUGACCGCGCAACGCCGCGUGAGUGAAGAAGGUUGUCGGAUCGUAAAACUCUGUUGGUAGAGAAGAACGUUUGUGAGAGUGGAAAGCUCAUCAAGUGACGGUAACUACCCAGAAAGGGACGGCUAACUACGUG
Molecule: ribosomal RNA, 497 nt
Filed under: uncultured bacterium
Lineage: Bacteria
Description: partial 16S ribosomal RNA
Rfam family: Bacterial small subunit ribosomal RNA
Source: RNAcentral